RNAcentral lists this ribosomal RNA (258 nucleotides) under uncultured bacterium. RNAcentral describes it as "partial 16S ribosomal RNA". It matches the Rfam family "Bacterial small subunit ribosomal RNA", at positions 103 to 354 of the family's 1533-position model. The record is from RNAcentral.
CGGGUGAGUAACACGUGAGUGACCUGCCUUUUAGACUGGAACAACUUACCGAAAGGUGAGCUAAUGCCGGAUGAGUUAUAUAAGUGCAUGUUUAUAUAGGAAAAGUUGGGGAGACCUGACGCUGAAAGAUGGACUCGCGUCCCAUUAGCUAGUUGGUAGGGUAAUGGCCUACCAAGGCGACGAUGGGUAGCCGGCCUGAGAGGGUGGCCGGCCAUACUGGGACUGAGACACGGCCCAGACUCCUACGGAAGGCAGCAG